This 375-nucleotide ribosomal RNA is filed under the name uncultured bacterium. Its description in RNAcentral is "bacterial SSU rRNA". It matches the Rfam family "Bacterial small subunit ribosomal RNA", at positions 524 to 898 of the family's 1533-position model. The record is from RNAcentral.
GACGAACCGUGCAAACGUUAUUCGGAAUCACUGGGCUUAAAGGGCGCGUAGGCGGGCUCCCAAGUCGGUGGUGAAAUCUUUCGGCCCAACCGGAAAAGUGCCGCCGAUACUGGGAGCCUCGAGGGAGGUAGGGGUCGAGGGAACUCUAGGUGGAGCGGUGAAAUGCGUAGAUAUCUGGAGGAACGCCGGUGGCGAAAGCGCUCGACUGGACCUCUUCUGACGCUGAGGCGCGAAAGCCAGGGGAGCAAACGGGAUUAGAUACCCCGGUAGUCCUGGCCCUAAACGAUGGGUACCAGAUUGUGGACUGGACAUGGGUUCACAGUCGAGGCAAAAGUGUUAAGUACCCCGCCUGGGGAGUAUGGUCGCAAGGCUGAA